UUGUGUCAUCCUCCACAGCUCCAGGGAAGGCACUCAAAAGUGGGGGGCAGGAAAGAUGUACAUUGAAGAUGUCAGUUUCUACAUGUGGGAAGUAGACAUUGAAGGCUUUAUGGUUUACAGACAAGAUCUUUAGAAGUUAAGCACUAAAGGACCAAGGAAAUAAAUACCAGAAAUCAAGAAGAGCACAGACUAUUUUCCUUCAUCAAUCCAUAGAACCCUAAUGCUUCUUUAGUUCCAUCAAACACAGAGGAAUGACCACCAUGGCAGAUGGCAACAGAGGAUGUCAACAAUUUUUUGGAGCAGUGUAUAUUGAAAACUUGUUAUGACCAAAGCUCCAGGCUAGACCUUUUUCGGGGACCCAAGAAGAUGAAUCUGAUAUCACCCUGCCUCAAAGAAGCAUAUAGUUUAGUAGGACAAACAAAAGCACACAUAUCACACAUAGAUAAGUAUAGAGUGGAGAAACUUUCAGACUGUACUUCUUAGCACUAUGAUUCUAUAGAAGAAUCUGGCUAUGUGUCUUUUUUUAUGUGUAUUUCUGAAUUACAAGUGAUCUUUAAGGGAACCUAGCAUAGUGCCUGGAACAUAAUAGGUGUUCAAAAAUGUUGAAAGAAUGGGCGAAUAUUCUCUAGUGCCUGGGAUAAGACAGCAUGCUAGAUGUAAUGUGAGCCUAUGUAUGUAUGUUAACUGUCUCUGCUGGAAAACAAAGUAUUUUAGAAUUAAACUGAUUUUAUCUGGCUUUCACCAUUUUAUAGAACAAAAUAGGCAAAUUAUUUCUUUGAACUCUGGUUUCUUCAUCUGUAAAGUACGGUGACAAUACCUAUCUUAUAAGUUUGUUGUGAAGAGUGAAUGAGAUAAUGUAUGUAAAGCUUAUAUUUUUAUAGUGGCUAUAAGAGUUUAGUUGAGAAAUUAGUGUUACAGUUACUAUUACUAUUAUUUUUACUAAUAAAGGGUGGGUAAA
This 958-nucleotide small RNA is filed under the name Pan troglodytes (chimpanzee). Its description in RNAcentral is "processed transcript". The record is from RNAcentral. Lineage: Eukaryota; Metazoa; Chordata; Mammalia; Primates; Hominidae.